Long non-coding RNA from Tachysurus fulvidraco (yellow catfish), 2116 nucleotides. RefSeq lists it as uncharacterized. The record is from RefSeq and is a predicted model, not a curated record. The transcript has 3 exons. NCBI's taxonomy places the organism in Eukaryota, Metazoa, Chordata, Actinopteri, Siluriformes, Bagridae.
AGAAGAGGCAUAGCUCAAGGCAGGGAAACCACACAGACCAGUCACUGUGACACAAUCACUAAAGCUGUUCCACAUAAUGCACUUCCUGUUAAUACAGCGCUUUCAAUUCAGUUCCAUUUUAUCUGCAACACACUUUUAACAGUGGACAUGGUCUCAAAGCAGGUUUAGAGAAAUAGAAAAACAUGGAAUUACAAUGUAAAUGUUUAAGAUCUAUCCCUGUUGAUCGGGUCUAAGGUGAUGCUGGUGAGGAAAAACUCCUUGAGGUGAUAUGAGGAGGAAACCUUGAGAUGAACCAGACUCAGAAGUGAACACUGGACAGUAACGAACAUCUUCAGUGUCUCAGCAUUGCUUCAGUGUUUAAGUUCAUCUUGGUUCUGUAGAGCUGCGGCUGUGACAAAAGUUCUGAGCUGAGCUGAACACUUUGCUGUCAUGAGCUCAAACACCACACAUUCCUAACAGAGGAGAGGCUUUGUGAGGACCACGUCAGUAAUUAUUUAAAAGAAUUACGUUGUAUUUAACAGGAGGAUUAAGAAACGUUCAGAAAAUAUGUAACGUCUUAAAACAGACAAAAGCACUUGUGUAAAUCCUGAUGACGUUCUGAACAUUAUUCAAAUGUGUGUGUAAUGUGAAGGGUGUGUAAGCACUUUAUUUUAGUGUGUAGAUGAUGAAAUCCAGCAAGCGGAGAACUUCCUGUGCAGAAGUUCACUGGCCGUCAACCGUCACUGAGACUAAACACCAUAUAAAUUCCUGUCAUCAGUUAGUAAGAACUAAUACAGCAGUUUAGUACAGUAGCACUACAGGACCUGUAUGUAGGUGUGUGUGUGUGUGUGUGUGUGUGUGUGUGUGUGUGUGUGUGUGUGUGUGUGUGUGUGUGUGUGUGUGUUUGUGUGUGUGUGUGUGUGUAGCAGUUUGUACAAUAACUGUUUCCACAUUUCCAACUUCACAAUCACUGUUAAGCUUGUUGAGGACCAUGCUGUUGUUCGCCUGAUCUCUGAUUAAAGCCUGGAGAACUAGUGCCAGGAAAACAGCCUCCUCCUGAACAUCAGCAGCACAAAGAAGUUGAUUGUGCACUUCAGCUUGAAACAGGAGAGGAGAUAGCGGAUGCUCAGGAGAAGCAAAGCCCCAGUGGAGAAAGUAGGGGUGUGCACGUAUAGUCGAACAUUCGAAAAUUGUCUGCUGUAAUUAUUCGAUAAAUAAAAAUGCUAUUUGAAAAACCUUUUUGAACAUUCAGAGCAUUUUCCUUGAUGCGAGUGGAGCGGAUGCAGCCGCCGCCACCAACGAUGAAGAGGAUGCGGCAAUGCCUUCGGCGAUGAUUACAGAGAAUCCAGCCAAGACGAGUGGGAGCAGUUCUUGCUGGAGCCAUGUAUUCCACCAGAUGAUCAUCCCAUUCAGUGGUGGAACAAAAACACGAAGCGCUUCACAAAACUUAGUUGCUUAGCACACCGUUACUUGUGUGUCCCGGCAACUUCUGUGCCGUCAGAGCGCGUUUUCUCCGCAGCCGGCCUUAUUGUUAACAGACUAAGGAGCCGACUUUCCCUCGAUCAUGUUGACAUGCUUGUGUUCCUUAAACAGGCAUACCAUGAGUAUGUCGGUUCCAAAACACCUGAGAAGAGUUAGUUUAAUCAACCUCCAACUGGUUACCCAGAGUUUAUGCGCGUGCACGGUGCAUAUAUAAAGACAUUUUCAAUGGAUCGCCGAUUUCACGAGUCACCAUGUAAACUCAAAGCGAAAAAAAGAGAGCGCCGUAUUUCACAGAGGCGGAGUUGGAGGUUUUAAUGCACGCUUAUGAGGAAUUUAAGCCAAUAAUAUUAAAAAGAAGCAAUACAGCUGCAUCGGCUAAGAGAGUUGGCUUGGCAAAAAAUAACAGACAGAGUAAAUGCGUGUAAUCCUUCUGGAGCCAGAAGAACUUUAAGCCAAGUCAAAAUAAAACACAAAAACAUUCUGCAAAAAGGAUGAAGAUGAUGAAGAUGACGAUGAAGAGACCACAUCUGGAUCCACUGAGGUAUGAUGCAUACCAUUAUAAUGUAUGGCUGCUUUUGGCAUUAGAGUAACAAACUGUCAUUGUCCUUUCACAGUACAUACCUAGGGAUUUGCCCACAGAUGAGGGUCAAUGUUG